UGGGGAAUUUUGGACAAUGGGCGAAAGCCUGAUCCAGCAAUGCCGCGUGUGUGAAGAAGGCCUUCGGGUUGUAAAGCACUUUUGUCCGGAAAGAAAUCCUUGGCUCUAAUACAGUCGGGGGAUGACGGUACCGGAAGAAUAAGCACCGGCUAACUACGUGCCAGCAGCCGCGGUAAUACGUAGGGUGCAAGCGUUAAUCGGAAUUACUGGGCGUAAAGCGUGCGCAGGCGGUUUGCUAAGACCGAUGUGAAACCCCGGGCUCAACCUGGGAACUGCAUUGGUGACUGGCAGGCUAGAGUAUGGCAGAGGGGGGUAGAAUUCCACGUGUAGCAGUGAAAUGCGUAGAGAUGUGGAGGAAUACCGAUGGCGAAGGCAGCCCCCUGGGCCAAUACUGACGCUCAUGCACGAAAGCGUGGGGAGCAAACAGGAUUAGAUACCCUGGUAGUCCACGCCCUAAACGAUGUCAACUAGUUGUUGGGGAUUCAUUUCCUUAGUAACGUAGCUAACGCGUGAAGUUGACCGCCUGGGGAGUACGGUCGCAAGAUUAAAACUCAAAUGAAUUGACGGGGUCAUAGCUGUUUCCU
This 584-nucleotide ribosomal RNA is filed under the name uncultured bacterium. RNAcentral's name for it is "partial 16S ribosomal RNA". It matches the Rfam family "Bacterial small subunit ribosomal RNA", at positions 355 to 1375 of the family's 1533-position model. The record is from RNAcentral.